RNAcentral lists this ribosomal RNA (438 nucleotides) under uncultured bacterium. RNAcentral describes it as "bacterial SSU rRNA". It matches the Rfam family "Bacterial small subunit ribosomal RNA", at positions 954 to 1392 of the family's 1533-position model. The record is from RNAcentral.
GCAUAACGCGAAGAACCUUACCUGGGUUUGACAUAUACCGGAAACGUCAAGAGAUAGGCGCCCCCGCAAGGUCGGUAUACAGGUGGUGCAUGGCUGUCGUCAGCUCGUGUCGUGAGAUGUUGGGUUAAGUCCCGCAACGAGCGCAACCCUCGUCCAAUGUUGCCAGCGGAUAAUGCCGGGGACUCAUUGGAGACCGCCGGGGUCAACUCGGAGGAAGGUGGGGAUGACGUCAAGUCAUCAUGCCCCUUAUGUCCAGGGCUUCACGCAUGCUACAAUGGCCGGUACAAAGAGCUGCAAACCUGCAAGGGUGAGCGAAUCUCAAAAAGCCGGUCUCAGUUCGGAUUGGGGUCUGCAACUCGACCCCAUGAAGUAGGAGUCGCUAGUAAUCGCAGAUCAGCAACGCUGCGGUGAAUACGUUCCCGGGUCUUGUACACACCG